This 151-nucleotide unclassified non-coding RNA is filed under the name soil metagenome. RNAcentral's name for it is "partial internal transcribed spacer 1". The record is from RNAcentral.
CCGAGUUUACAACUCCCAAACCAUGUGAACAUACCUACUGUUGCUUCGGCGGAUUGCCCCGGCGCCUCGUGUGCCCGGAUCAGGCGCCCGCCUAGGAAACUAACUCUUGUUUUAUUUUGGAAUCUUCUGAGUAGUUUUUACAAUAAAUAAA